Molecule: ribosomal RNA, 831 nt
Filed under: uncultured archaeon
Lineage: Archaea
Description: bacterial SSU rRNA
Rfam family: Archaeal small subunit ribosomal RNA
Source: RNAcentral
GGUUACUGCUGUCGAGGUUCGACUAAGCCAUGCGAGUCGAAUGUAGCAAUACAUGGCGUACUGCUCAGUAACACGUGGACAACCUACCCUUAGGCCUGGGAUAACCCCGGGAAACUGGGAAUAAUACCGGAUAUAUCGCGAAUGCUGGAAUGCGUCGCGAUAGAAAGCUCCGACGCCUAAGGAUGGGUCUGCGGCCUAUCAGGUAGUAGUGGGUGUAAUGUACCUACUAGCCUACGACGGGUACGGGUUGUGAGAGCAAGAGCCCGGAGAUGGAUUCUGAGACACGAAUCCAGGCCCUACGGGGUGCAGCAGGCGCGAAAACUUUACAAUGCUGGCAACAGCGAUAAGGGGACCUCGAGUGCCAGGAUACAAUCCUGGCUGUCAUAAUGCCUAAAAAGCAUUGCAUACAAGGGCCGGGCAGGACCGGUGCCAGCCGCCGCGGUAACACCGGCGGCUCGAGUGGUAACCGCUAUUAUUGGGUCUAAAGGGUCUGUAGCCGGCUGACUAAGUCUCUUGGGAAAUCUGGCAGCUUAACUGUCAGGCUUUCAGGAGAUACUGAUCGGCUCGAGACCGGGAGAGGUGAGAGGUACCUCAGGAGUAGGGGUGAAAUCUUGUAAUCCUUGAGGGACCACCAGUGGCGAAGGCGUCUCACCAGAACGGAUCUGACGGCAAGGGACGAAAGCUAGGGGCACGAACCGGAUUAGAUACCCGGGUAGUCCUAGCCGUAAACGAUACUCGCUAGGUGUCGGCCACGGUGCGACCGUGGUCGGUGCCGUAGGGAAGCCGUGAAGCGAGCCACCUGGGAAGUACGGCCGCAAGGCUGAAACUUAA